UGGGGAAUAUUGCACAAUGGGCGCAAGCCUGAUGCAGCCAUGCCGCGUGUGUGAAGAAGGCCUUCGGGUUGUAAAGCACUUUCAGCGAGGAGGAAGGUGGUGAGCUUAAUACGCUCAUCAAUUGACGUUACUCGCAGAAGAAGCACCGGCUAACUCCGUGCCAGCAGCCGCGGUAAUACGGAGGGUGCAAGCGUUAAUCGGAAUUACUGGGCGUAAAGCGCACGCAGGCGGUUUGUUAAGUCAGAUGUGAAAUCCCCGGGCUCAACCUGGGAACUGCAUUUGAAACUGGCAAGCUAGAGUCUCGUAGAGGGGGGUAGAAUUCCAGGUGUAGCGGCGAAAGUGCGUAGAGAUCUGGAGGAAUACCGGUGGCGAAGGCGGCCCCAUGGACGAAGACUGACGCUCAGGUGGCGAAAGCGUGGGGAGCAAAACAGGAUUAGAUACCCCUGGUAGUCCACGCUGUAAACGAUGUCGAUUUGGAGGUUGUGCCCUUGAGGCGUGGCUCCGGAGCUAACGCGUUAAAUCGACCGCCUGGGGAGUACGGCCGCAAGGUUAAAACUCAAAGGAAUUGACGGGGUCAUAGCUGUUUCCUG
This 590-nucleotide ribosomal RNA is filed under the name uncultured bacterium. Its description in RNAcentral is "partial 16S ribosomal RNA". It matches the Rfam family "Bacterial small subunit ribosomal RNA", at positions 355 to 1376 of the family's 1533-position model. The record is from RNAcentral.